Molecule: long non-coding RNA, 427 nt
Organism: Nymphaea colorata (pocket water lily)
Lineage: Eukaryota; Viridiplantae; Streptophyta; Magnoliopsida; Nymphaeales; Nymphaeaceae
Exons: 3
Source: RefSeq, a predicted model, not a curated record
CGUCUUCCUAUGCAUGAGCCCCCUCUUCUCUCUCCAACGUCGCCGGUGCCCCCGUCUUGGUCAUCGCCAGCACCAACGCAAACGCGCAUCGCCUUGCUCUCAUCGCCCUUCACAGAAUCCAGGUUUCGGCUUUGCGAUGUUCAAAUCAAGGGGGUUUCGUUGUUGAGCAAUGAAUAGAAGACCUAGUCAGUUGUGAAUAGAUGCUUGAGAGACAUCUUUGAUGUAAGAUCUCCAUGUGAAAGCAUGGAGAAUUUCUUUCUUGUUCUCCACGGACAGCUAACACUUGAAAUCCUGUGGCACUCUGUACCAGUAGAACUUGUAGUGAGCUGCUGCACAGUGUUCCUCUUAUGUUCUUUGUGUAUUGUUGUUCCGUCAUAUAGAGUAAAAGGACACAAAAAUAAUGAGAACCCUGCAGAAUAAAUCUUCG